Molecule: ribosomal RNA, 850 nt
Filed under: Staphylococcus aureus
Lineage: Bacteria; Bacillati; Bacillota; Bacilli; Caryophanales; Staphylococcaceae
Description: bacterial SSU rRNA
Rfam family: Bacterial small subunit ribosomal RNA
Source: RNAcentral
UGAACGCUGGCGGCGUGCCUAAUACAUGCAAGUCGAGCGAACGGACGAGAAGCUUGCUUCUCUGAUGUUAGCGGCGGACGGGUGAGUAACACGUGGAUAACCUACCUAUAAGACUGGGAUAACUUCGGGAAACCGGAGCUAAUACCGGAUAAUAUUUUGAACCGCAUGGUUCAAAAGUGAAAGACGGUCUUGCUGUCACUUAUAGAUGGAUCCGCGCUGCAUUAGCUAGUUGGUAAGGUAACGGCUUACCAAGGCAACGAUGCAUAGCCGACCUGAGAGGGUGAUCGGCCACACUGGAACUGAGACACGGUCCAGACUCCUACGGGAGGCAGCAGUAGGGAAUCUUCCGCAAUGGGCGAAAGCCUGACGGAGCAACGCCGCGUGAGUGAUGAAGGUCUUCGGAUCGUAAAACUCUGUUAUUAGGGAAGAACAUAUGUGUAAGUAACUGUGCACAUCUUGACGGUACCUAAUCAGAAAGCCACGGCUAACUACGUGCCAGCAGCCGCGGUAAUACGUAGGUGGCAAGCGUUAUCCGGAAUUAUUGGGCGUAAAGCGCGCGUAGGCGGUUUUUUAAGUCUGAUGUGAAAGCCCACGGCUCAACCGUGGAGGGUCAUUGGAAACUGGAAAACUUGAGUGCAGAAGAGGAAAGUGGAAUUCCAUGUGUAGCGGUGAAAUGCGCAGAGAUAUGGAGGAACACCAGUGGCGAAGGCGACUUUCUGGUCUGUAACUGACGCUGAUGUGCGAAAGCGUGGGGAUCAAACAGGAUUAGAUACCCUGGUAGUCCACGCCGUAAACGAUGAGUGCUAAGUGUUAGGGGGUUUCCGCCCCUUAGUGCUGCAGCUAACGCAUU